Molecule: ribosomal RNA, 1468 nt
Filed under: Escherichia coli
Lineage: Bacteria; Pseudomonadati; Pseudomonadota; Gammaproteobacteria; Enterobacterales; Enterobacteriaceae
Description: bacterial SSU rRNA
Rfam family: Bacterial small subunit ribosomal RNA
Source: RNAcentral
CUGCUUUGCUGACGAGUGGCGGACGGGUGAGUAAUGUCUGGGAAACUGCCUGAUGGAGGGGGAUAACUACUGGAAACGGUAGCUAAUACCGCAUAACGUCGCAAGACCAAAGAGGGGGACCUUAGGGCCUCUUGCCAUCGGAUGUGCCCAGAUGGGAUUAGCUAGUAGGUGGGGUAACGGCUCACCUAGGCGACGAUCCCUAGCUGGUCUGAGAGGAUGACCAGCCACACUGGAACUGAGACACGGUCCAGACUCCUACGGGAGGCAGCAGUGGGGAAUAUUGCACAAUGGGCGCAAGCCUGAUGCAGCCAUGCCGCGUGUAUGAAGAAGGCCUUCGGGUUGUAAAGUACUUUCAGCGGGGAGGAAGGGAGUAAAGUUAAUACCUUUGCUCAUUGACGUUACCCGCAGAAGAAGCACCGGCUAACUCCGUGCCAGCAGCCGCGGUAAUACGGAGGGUGCAAGCGUUAAUCGGAAUUACUGGGCGUAAAGCGCACGCAGGCGGUUUGUUAAGUCAGAUGUGAAAUCCCCGGGCUCAACCUGGGAACUGCAUCUGAUACUGGCAAGCUUGAGUCUCGUAGAGGGGGGUAGAAUUCCAGGUGUAGCGGUGAAAUGCGUAGAGAUCUGGAGGAAUACCGGUGGCGAAGGCGGCCCCCUGGACGAAGACUGACGCUCAGGUGCGAAAGCGUGGGGAGCAAACAGGAUUAGAUACCCUGGUAGUCCACGCCGUAAACGAUGUCGACUUGGAGGUUGUGCCCUUGAGGCGUGGCUUCCGGAGCUAACGCGUUAAGUCGACCGCCUGGGGAGUACGGCCGCAAGGUUAAAACUCAAAUGAAUUGACGGGGGCCCGCACAAGCGGUGGAGCAUGUGGUUUAAUUCGAUGCAACGCGAAGAACCUUACCUGGUCUUGACAUCCACGGAAGUUUUCAGAGAUGAGAAUGUGCCUUCGGGAACCGUGAGACAGGUGCUGCAUGGCUGUCGUCAGCUCGUGUUGUGAAAUGUUGGGUUAAGUCCCGCAACGAGCGCAACCCUUAUCCUUUGUUGCCAGCGGUCCGGCCGGGAACUCAAAGGAGACUGCCAGUGAUAAACUGGAGGAAGGUGGGGAUGACGUCAAGUCAUCAUGGCCCUUACGACCAGGGCUACACACGUGCUACAAUGGCGCAUACAAAGAGAAGCGACCUCGCGAGAGCAAGCGGACCUCAUAAAGUGCGUCGUAGUCCGGAUUGGAGUCUGCAACUCGACUCCAUGAAGUCGGAAUCGCUAGUAAUCGUGGAUCAGAAUGCCACGGUGAAUACGUUCCCGGGCCUUGUACACACCGCCCGUCACACCAUGGGAGUGGGUUGCAAAAGAAGUAGGUAGCUUAACCUUCGGGAGGGCGCUUACCACUUUGUGAUUCAUGACUGGGGUGAAGUCGUAACAAGGUAACCGUAGGGGAACCUGCGGUUGGAUCACCUCCUUACCUUAAAGAAGC